This 460-nucleotide ribosomal RNA is filed under the name uncultured bacterium. RNAcentral's name for it is "partial 16S ribosomal RNA". It matches the Rfam family "Bacterial small subunit ribosomal RNA", at positions 338 to 795 of the family's 1533-position model. The record is from RNAcentral.
CCUACGGGGGGCAGCAGUGAGGAAUAUUGGUCAAUGGGCGAGAGCCUGAACCAGCCAAGUCGCGUGAAGGAUGAAGGAUCUAUGGUUUGUAAACUUCUUUUAUAUGGGAGUAAAGUGAGGAACGUGUUCCUUUUUGUAUGUACCAUAUGCAUAAGCAUCGGCUAACUCCGUGCCAGCAGCCGCGGUAAUACGGAGGAUGCGAGCGUUAUCCGGAUUUAUUGGGUUUAAGGGGUGCGUAGGUGGUUCAUUAAGUCAGCGGUGAAAGGUUGUGGCUCAACCAUAAAAUUGCCGUUGAAACUGGUUGACUUGAGUAUAUUUGAGGUAGGCGGAAUGCGUGGUGUAGCGGUGAAAUGCAUAGAUAUAACGCAGAACUCCGAUUGCGAAGGCAGCUUACUAAACUAUAACUGACACUGAAGCACGAAAGCGUGGGGAUCAAACAGGAUUAGAUACCCUUGUAGUC